GCUUCACUAUUUCAUCCAAUCGAUACAAAUUAAUUUGAUCCGAUAACUUUUUCAAUUCAAAAGUUCGAAAUUUGCAAUUUUAUAAAUAAUUUAUAUUUUCAUAUAUAUUUGUAUAAAUAUAUAUAUUUUAUAUAUCUAAUUACUUUCUUAUUUUUUUACCUGAAUCGUCCGAUCAAAUGAUCGGACGGUUCAAAUGUUGAUUUAUAUUUUCAAAUCAGUGUAAUAAAUGAUACGCAGGAAAGGCAAAAGCACCCGUGUUUUUCUUUCCAAGAAACCAACGUAUGGUCACCAUCACAUCCCAAAACGCGAUACAAACCAACAUUUUUUCCUCUGUCUUCCCUCUCCCCUUCUCCAUCUUGCCAAAACUAGAACCAUAGUUGCCCUUGGUAGCCAUAGUUACCGCUGAUCUAGAAAGAUCCCAUCCCAAAAUCACCUCUUCCAACCCCAAAAACCAAAAUUAGAAAAAAGCAAAGCCCCAAAUUCAUGCAAGAAACGAACAAUCGGUCCAAAACAGCCAUUAAUGGCUUCAAAUUUGAAGAUCCAAUUCAGCAAUUUAAAAUUUAAAAUCUAUCCCCUUCUUACCGUUUUUAUUUUAAGGUUUCAAAUUCGGACUUUUUCAAGUCCAAUUUUGUACUUAUAAAUAUGGGUUGUUUCAUAUUCUCCAAAAAAAAAAAAAGUAUUGAGGAGAAAGGCAAAAAAGGAGGGAAAGAUCUGAAGAGAGGAGGGAUAGAUAAAAACAAGUAAAAAAAAAGGGGGCAACAAAAACAGAAGUGAAAACGAGAAAUUCGUGAGAAAAAAAAAAAAGAGGAAAAACGAGCAAACAUUUUUACAAGCAAGAGUUACAAAUUUUGUCACUAGUCACUAGUUUUUCUUCUCACUUUGAUCUGAGUUUGAGUUUUGGGGUAGCUCGAGUUCGGAGUUGAAGUCUUGACGUCGAGCUCCAGUUUUGCUGCCUUGAAAAAUGUGCGAAUCCCGUCUCACUUCCAUCCCCUUUUAUUUUGUCUUGUUUGGAUCAGUGAAUAUAUUCGUUUAGUUUAAGUUUAAAUUCGUUGAACUUCGGUGCUAAUGUUGUUAAAGAUGGAUGGCUAUGAGAAUUUCAAUCUUCAAGUUAUUGGUGACUGAUUUCAAAAUUGGGUUUGCAUUUGAUUUUUGUUAAGUUUGUGUUUGUUGUCGCUUCCUCUAUCUUACGAAUAAAAUAUGGUGUUGGUUUCGUGAAACCAUUUGGUGGAUCAGAAGGUGAACAUUCGGGUAGUCAAUUAGGUGAACUACUAAGAUUACCCGUCUUGACGGAGCAAUUGAGGUGUGCUGGUUAUUAGGAGAAAUUUAAAGGGAAUUUUAUGAUGUAGCAAGUCUUGUUGUGUAGUUUGUUCUGUAAUCGUGGGUUCCCAAAUUUUUUAUUUUUUUGAGAUCCUAAUUUAUCUUUUUGCAUUGGUUUAUGUAAUCUCAUGGUUUAAUCCCGUUUUCUUAAGUGAACUGGUGUUUUUGAUUUGUGGGUUUAUUCUACUUUUGUUAAAGGAAGUGACUUUUCACUAUUUUAAGUUGUUACUAGUUAUUACUGUGUCAAAUUUGGAAAAAGUCUUUGAUUUUUAUCGGUACAUAAGACAUAGAAUGCAUUUCUCGGGCAUUAAGUGGUGGAAAUUGUUAGCCAAGGGUCUAACGGAAACAUACUCUCUACCUUCUAGUGGUAGCGGUAAGAUUUGCAAACACUGUAUCCCAAAUCCCACUUGUGGUCUACACUUUGUCUGAUGUUCGUUGUUAUAAUUAGACUGUUAUGGUAUCAACACUCAUAUUAGAAUACUCUUAAGGUAAUCUCUUAUUUUAGUAAUUUUUUUAUACUAAUUUACAUCAACUGAUUAAGAAAAAUUUUCUGUUGGAUGUAUUGCCUUCUUUUGCCUUUCUCCGUUGUGCCUUAAAUGGUUACUUUUGUUUGUCUUUUGCAUUUUAAGAAAAUUGAACCUUUUCAAUUUCUCAGUUUGAAGCAGAGUAAUAACUUUAUAAAUAGUUUUGUACGUCGUCUAGCUAUCUUGGUAACGAAGAAUUCGAUGCAUACAUACUUGAUUAGGACCCAAAGAUCAAAUAAUAAUUAUUUUCACAACAACUAUUUUACAUCAUAUUUAUUAUUACCAUUAUUAUUUACACUAUAAUAUUUGUUGCUAUUUCAAUUAUUAUUAUUAUUAUUAUUAUUAUUAUUAAUAAUAAUAAUAAUAAUAAUAAUAAUACUAUUAUUAUUAUUGUCAUUAUCUCAAUUUUGUCACGCUUAGGUAUCAUAUUAUCACAUUUAUCUUUUUGCUUAUUUCUUAUCUAAAUCUAUUUAAGUUUCACAAAUUAAGUAAAAAAAAAUUCGUACUUUCAAAUAUAUCCAUAUUCUUAUUUUGUCUUAAAUAAAUCCAUGCCUUAAAAUAUUUUUAUAAAUUUUAUUUACCUAUUCAAUUUUAUACAUGUAAAGAUAGUAAAAUUUUUCCUUUAUCUUAUCGGAAUCAUAAAAAAUAAAAAGCUAUUUCAUAUCUUAAGGUAUCCAUGUAACAUAUAUACAUAUGCAAUGAUUGCAUUAUUUGCUUGUGCAUGGUAGCAUCAUGUGUGUUAUACCUUAAGUUUUCUAUCUUCUAUAUAAAAUAACAAGUAGAAAAUAAUGAUGAAAGUUUUCUUAUCACAAUUUUCGCAAAUAAAUAAAAGCAAUGAUUUUUUCUAAACUAAGCAUAAGGACUAUCCUCGGAUAGGCUCUGAGGGGUGCCUAACACCUUCCUCUUGAGUAACCAAAACCCUUACUCAGAAUCUCUAAAUAUUUUCAAAAGACCAAAACAGAGUUUUCGACAUACAAAAUGAUUUUUUCCUAAUUUUCCUAAAAAGUUAGGUGGCGGCUCUAAAAAAUAAAUUUAGGGCUCAACAUUAAUCACUCCAUCAUGUUUUGCCUUGCACUCUUCACAUUUGCCUGCAUAAGAUAAGCAAGGAGGGGCAAGAUUGAUCAUUCUUC
RNAcentral lists this long non-coding RNA (2971 nucleotides) under Capsicum annuum. RNAcentral describes it as "long non-coding RNA (CANN_LNC015125)". The record is from RNAcentral. Lineage: Eukaryota; Viridiplantae; Streptophyta; Magnoliopsida; Solanales; Solanaceae.